AGUUUGAUCCUNGGUCAGNACGAANGCNGGNNGGCGNGCNUNAUACAUGCAAGUCGAGAGAAUNGAUGGGAGCNUGCUCCCUGAGAUUAGCGGCGGGCGGGUGAGUUACACGUGGGCAACCUGCCUAUNAGACUNGGAUAACUUCGGGGAAACCGGAGCUAAUACCGGAUACGUUCUUUUNUUGCAUGAGAGAAGAUGGAAAGACGGUUUACGCUGUCACUUAUAGAUGGGCCCGCGGCGCAUUAGCUAGUUGGUGAGGUAAUGGCUCACCAAGGCGACGAUGCGUAGCCGACCUGAGAGGGUGAUCGGCCACACUGGGACUGAGACACGGCCCAGACUCCUACGGGAGGCAGCAGUAGGGAAUUUUCCGCAAUGGACGAAAGUCUGACGGAGCAACGCCGCGUGAACGAAGAAAGCCUUCGGGUCNUAAAGUUNUGUUGUUAGGGAAGAACAAGUACCAGAGUAACUGCUGGUACCUUGACGGUACCUAACCAGAAAGCCACGGCUAACUACGUGCCAGCAGCCGCGGUAAUACGUAGGUGGCAAGCGUUGUCCGGAAUUAUUGGGCGUAAAGCGCGCGCAGGUGGUUCCUUAAGUCUGAUGUGAAAGCCCACGGCUCAACCGUGGAGGGUCAUUGGAAACUGGGGAACUUGAGUGCAGAAGAGGAAAGUGGAAUUCCAAGUGUAGCGGUGAAAUGCGUAGAGAUUUGGAGGAACACCAGUGGCGAAGGCGACUUUCGGUCUG
RNAcentral lists this ribosomal RNA (744 nucleotides) under Peribacillus simplex. RNAcentral's name for it is "Bacillus simplex partial 16S ribosomal RNA". It matches the Rfam family "Bacterial small subunit ribosomal RNA", at positions 10 to 736 of the family's 1533-position model. Lineage: Bacteria; Bacillati; Bacillota; Bacilli; Caryophanales; Bacillaceae. The record is from RNAcentral.